UGAGGAAUCUUGCGCAAUGGGGGAAACCCUGACGCAGCAACGCCGCGUGAGUGAGGAAGGUCUUCGGAUCGUAAAGCUCUGUCAGUUGGAAAGAAAUGUCUGAGAGUCAAUACCUUUCAGGCUUGACGGUACCAACAGAGGAAGCACCGGCUAACUCCGUGCCAGCAGCCGCGGUAAUACGGGGGGUGCAAGCGUUGUUCGGAAUUAUUGGGCGUAAAGAGCGUGUAGGCGGCCGGAUAUGUCAGAUGUGAAAGCCCCGGGCUUAACCCGGGAAGGGCGUGUGAAACUGUCCGGGUGGAGUAGGGGAGGGGGAAGUGGAAUUCCUGGUGUAGAGGUGAAAUUCGUAGAUGUCAGGAGGAACACCGGUGGGGAAGGCGACUUCCUGGCCCUAUACUGAAGCUGAGACGCGAGAGCGUGGGUAG
RNAcentral lists this ribosomal RNA (422 nucleotides) under uncultured bacterium. Its description in RNAcentral is "bacterial SSU rRNA". It matches the Rfam family "Bacterial small subunit ribosomal RNA", at positions 355 to 768 of the family's 1533-position model. The record is from RNAcentral.